UGCCAGCAGCCGCGGUAAUUCCAGCUCCAAUAGCGUAUAUUAAAGUUGUUGCAGUUAAAAGCUCGUAGUUGAAUUUCGGGAUCAACACGUCGUCGUGCCUCCGGUACGUACUGGCGUCGUUGAUUUCUCCUUUCUGAUGAGCCAUGAUGUCAUUAAUUGGUGUGUGGGAGUCAGGACUGUUACUUGAAAAAUUAGAGUGUUUAAAGCAGGCAAACGCCUGAAUACAUUAGCAUGGAAUAAUGAAAUAGGACGUUCGAACCUAUUUUAGUUGGUUUCUAGGAUCAACGUAAUGAUUAAUAGGGAUAUUGGGGGCAUUAGUAUUCAAUUGUCAGAGGUGAAAUUCUUGGAUUUAUUGAAGACUGACUACUGCGAAAGCAUUUGCCAAGGAUGUUUUCAUUAAUCAAGAACGAAAGUUAGGGGAUCGAAGACGAUCAGAUACCGUCGUAGUCUUAACCAUAAACUAUGCCGACUAGGGAUCGGAUGAAGUUAAUUUUUUUAAUGACUCAUUCGGCGCCUUACG
This 520-nucleotide ribosomal RNA is filed under the name uncultured Glomus. RNAcentral describes it as "SSU rRNA". It matches the Rfam family "Eukaryotic small subunit ribosomal RNA", at positions 565 to 1092 of the family's 1831-position model. The record is from RNAcentral. Lineage: Eukaryota; Fungi; Glomeromycota; Glomeromycetes; Glomerales; Glomeraceae.